UACGGGGGGAGCAAGCGUUGUCCGGAUUUACUGGGCGUAAAGGGCGCGUAGGCGGUCGUGACAAGUCACUUGUGAAAUCUCCGGGCUUAACUCGGAACGGUCAAGUGAUACUGUCGGACUAGAGUACAGAAGGGGCAACUGGAAUUCUCGGUGUAGCGGUGAAAUGCGUAGAUAUCGAGAGGAACACCUGCGGCGAAGGCGGGUUGCUGGGCUGAUACUGACGCUGAGGCGCGAAAGCCAGGGGAGCGAACGGG
This 254-nucleotide ribosomal RNA is filed under the name uncultured bacterium. Its description in RNAcentral is "partial 16S ribosomal RNA". It matches the Rfam family "Bacterial small subunit ribosomal RNA", at positions 524 to 776 of the family's 1533-position model. The record is from RNAcentral.